UACAGAGGGUGCAAGCGUUAAUCGGAAUUACUGGGCGUAAAGCGCGCGUAGGUGGUUCGUUAAGUUGGAUGUGAAAUCCCCGGGCUCAACCUGGGAACUGCAUUCAAAACUGACAAGCUAGAGUAUGGUAGAGGGUGGUGGAAUUUCCUGUGUAGCGGUGAAAUGCGUAGAUAUAGGAAGGAACACCAGUGGCGAAGGCGACCACCUGGACUGAUACUGACACUGAGGUGCGAAAGCGUGGGGAGCAAACAGG
This 253-nucleotide ribosomal RNA is filed under the name uncultured bacterium. RNAcentral's name for it is "partial 16S ribosomal RNA". It matches the Rfam family "Bacterial small subunit ribosomal RNA", at positions 524 to 776 of the family's 1533-position model. The record is from RNAcentral.